This 261-nucleotide ribosomal RNA is filed under the name Pseudomonadota bacterium. RNAcentral describes it as "partial 23S ribosomal RNA". It matches the Rfam family "Bacterial large subunit ribosomal RNA", at positions 2669 to 2925 of the family's 2925-position model. Lineage: Bacteria; Pseudomonadati; Pseudomonadota. The record is from RNAcentral.
GGGCUGCUCCUAGUACGAGAGGACCGGAGUGGACGUUCCUCUGGUGUACCGGUUAUCACGCCAGUGGUAUUGCCGGGUAGCUAAGAACGGAAGAGAUAAGCGCUGAAAGCAUCUAAGCGCGAAACUUGCCUCAAGAUGAGACUUCCCGGGGGUUUAACCCCCCUAAAGGUUCGUCGAAGACUACGACGUUGAUAGGUCGGGUGUGGAAGCGCAGUAAUGCGUUAAGCUAACCGAUACUAAUUGACCGUGCGGCUUGAUCCU